CUCAGUUAUUUUGUCUAACCCCUCCAUGUGAUGAUUUUCUACAAAAAAAAGAAAGAAAAGAAAAUUCUCUGGCAGGGGUCAAGAGCGGAAGUGACAUAUUUAUGUUGCAUUUUUCAUGCGAAAAUGUGCCCUGACCAAAACAAUCCCUAUCCCCAACGUCAGUAAAGAAAUGUUUUUAUUAUUAUAAUUAUUAUUAUUUUAAAAUGUGCCCAAAUAAAAUAAAUCUUAAACCUAACCGUCAGUAACUUCCGGUAUCCACGACCCAACCGCGUUUGCAGUUCUGCCCAUGGUCCCGCCCCAUAUCUGGCAGCCAAUGGGGGCGGCCCAAUUUCAAAUUAGGGCUCACCGCGCGUGUCGUUCGCAAAAAAUAACUGCCGCUGCUGAAGAGAAGCAAAGAAGACCACCGAGCUGGAGAAGAGCUAAAAAACGCAAUUUAUAGAUUACAAUGGCAUUUGCCAAUUAUUAUAUCAAGGACAAGACUGUGGAAGAUGGGAAGAUUUCAUGAAUAAGUCCUGACGACCGGCAAUUAUGUCCAACAACAGUAAAUCACUCAGUGCCCUGAUCUGGAAGAAGACGAAUGGAUGGAGAUAAAGGGGGAGAUUAACGACAGGAAAAAGUCAAACGGCCCAGCCUUUUUUCCUGGAAAGGUUUUGAUGACUGCUGAGCUUCCAGGAGUAGUAGUGACAAGGCCCCAACACCUCCAUCAACCUGGUCAACACACCACCUGGAGAUUGCCUACCUUCUGCACAGAGCUCUCAAGUGUUAUCUGAGCCUGAUGAUAUGCUCAUGCCCAGGCGAAAUUCCCUGACCACCAUGCAAGAUGUGAGACGAAUAAUAAGACAGAAGUACAACAACACCAAGCAAGUAAACGAAAAGAAGUCCUAAAUGUCAACAUAUUAUGUAAAAAUAAAUAUGAAAUAAAUAAAUCAAACUUAUUUUCAA
Molecule: long non-coding RNA, 942 nt
Organism: Engraulis encrasicolus (European anchovy)
Lineage: Eukaryota; Metazoa; Chordata; Actinopteri; Clupeiformes; Engraulidae
Exons: 3
Source: RefSeq, a predicted model, not a curated record